RNAcentral lists this ribosomal RNA (564 nucleotides) under Lodderomyces parapsilosis. RNAcentral describes it as "eukaryotic LSU rRNA". It matches the Rfam family "Eukaryotic large subunit ribosomal RNA", at positions 73 to 656 of the family's 3401-position model. Lineage: Eukaryota; Fungi; Ascomycota; Pichiomycetes; Serinales; Debaryomycetaceae. The record is from RNAcentral.
AUGCCUUAGUAGCGGCGAGUGAGCGGCAAAAGCUCAAAUUUGAAAUCUGGCGCUUUCAGUGUCCGAGUUGUAAUUUGAAGAAGGUAUCUUUGGGUCUGGCUCUUGUCUAUGUUUCUUGGAACAGAACGUCACAGAGGGUGAGAAUCCCGUGCGAUGAGAUGACCCAGACCUAUGUAAAGUUCCUUCGAAGAGUCGAGUUGUUUGGGAAUGCAGCUCUAAGUGGGUGGUAAAUUCCAUCUAAAGCUAAAUAUUGGCGAGAGACCGAUAGCGAACAAGUACAGUGAUGGAAAGAUGAAAAGAACUUUGAAAAGAGAGUGAAAAAGUACGUGAAAUUGUUGAAAGGGAAGGGCUUGAGAUCAGACUUGGUAUUUUGUAUGUUACUCUUUCGGGGGUGGCCUCUACAGUUUACCGGGCCAGCAUCAGUUUGGGCGGUAGGAGAAUUGCAAAGAAAUGUGGCACUGCCUCGGUAGUGUGUUAUAGUCUUUGUCGAUACUGCCAGCCUAGACUGAGGACUGCGGCUUCGGCCUAGGAUGUUGGCAUAAUGAUCUUAAGUCGCCCGUCUUG